Crenichthys baileyi (White River springfish) is the source of this 74-nucleotide non-coding RNA. The record is from the annotation of a GenBank genome assembly. NCBI's taxonomy places the organism in Eukaryota, Metazoa, Chordata, Actinopteri, Cyprinodontiformes, Goodeidae.
GCACGGUGGCGCAGUCGGUAGCACUAUUGCCAUGCUGCAAGAAGGUCCUGGGUUCGACUCCCAGCCUUGGGUCU